AAGACCUCGCGCGAUUGGAGCGGCCGAUAUCAGAUUAGGUAGUUGGUGAGGUAAAGGCUCACCAAGCCGACGAUCUGUAGCUGGUCUGAGAGGACGACCAGCCACACUGGGACUGAGACACGGCCCAGACUCCUACGGGAGGGCAGCAGUGGGGAAUUUUGGACAAUGGGCGCAAGCCUGAUCCAGCAAUGCCGCGUGCAGGAUGAAGGCCUUCGGGUUGUAAACUGCUUUUGUACGGAACGAAACGGUGAGCUCUAAUACAGUUUGCUAAUGACGGUACCGUAAGAAUAAGCACCGGCUAACUACGUG
RNAcentral lists this ribosomal RNA (309 nucleotides) under uncultured bacterium. Its description in RNAcentral is "bacterial SSU rRNA". It matches the Rfam family "Bacterial small subunit ribosomal RNA", at positions 202 to 507 of the family's 1533-position model. The record is from RNAcentral.